UUAUGGAUUAUUGAAGGAAUAAAUAAAAAGAAAAAAAUUGAUGAAAACUAAUCCUUGUAAAGGAUGGAGGCAAAUAUCGUAUCGCUUAAGAUUGAGAAUAGAAGUUCAUUAAUUAUGGUCCUUCAAAUUCAUGCCAGGAGUAGUGUUUUAGGUCUAGUCUCCUUUUGUGUGAUUAAAUAAAAAAAUGAACAUUAAUGUACUUUGUAUUUGAGGAACUAAAUGACUUAAUAUGUAAUAGUACUCCUUUUACAUUAAGUGUCGGGACAUAAAAAUAUACUAUUAUUUUGUAUUUGUAAUUUUAAUUGCAAGGAAACAA
Molecule: long non-coding RNA, 316 nt
Organism: Populus euphratica (Euphrates poplar)
Lineage: Eukaryota; Viridiplantae; Streptophyta; Magnoliopsida; Malpighiales; Salicaceae
Exons: 3
Source: RefSeq, a predicted model, not a curated record